CAUUUUUUCAUAUAUUUGUUGAUUGAUUGAAUAUCCUCUUCUGAGCAGUGCCUAUUCAUGUCCUUGGCCCAUUUAUUGACUGGGUUAUUUGGUUUUUUGGUGCUUAACUUUUUGAGUUCUUUAUAUACCCUAGAGAUUAGUGCUCUAUCUGAUGUAUGAGGGGUGAAAAUUUACUUCCAAGAUGUAGGCUCUCUUAUUCACCUCACAGAUUGUUUCUUUUGCUGAGAAGAAACUUUUUAAUUUGAGUCCAUCCAAAUGGGAGUCUUUCUUAGAAGUAAUGUACAACACUUGACAGAAAAUAAGCAUCAGUCAUUAUUUCUCAGAUCUAGAAAGCCAAGCUCAUUAGACACUUUAUAUAUCUGAUGCAAUACCUUAACAGGAUGUUCAUAGAUGUUAAAAAUAAGAUGGGGGCUGGAGCUUUGGAGAGAGAAAGUUUCCAGAGGUAAUAUGGUUGGAAAAGCUGAAUUAAAAUUAAGUGGGUCUCUCUCCUGUAAAACUUCUAAGAACCUACAAAUCUCCCAAAAGAACCUAUUUUUUUAUGGCAUCUUCCAGACUUAAAUGACCCAGUAACCCUUUUAUCAAGGAACAUCUUGUAAGACCUUGAACCUGUUUUGGGAAGUAUUAGCCUAGCACAAUGCUACGAAUUGUAGAGACUUAUUAAAUAGUUUGAAUAAUUCUGUAAAAACUUGACAUGACAGCUGCAAAAUUGUUCAUGAACUUUCUCAAGGCAGUCAACACAGUAUUUAAAUCUUGGCCAUGGGCCUUGGACAAGUUAUUUGACCCUAGUUUCAUCUUCUGUAGGAGAGGUGAUGGUACAAAUAUUCUCCCAGAAAGGUAGUUGUAAAGAUCAAAUGAGUUAAUAAUGUUACUUGGUUAGAACAGUACCUGGCACAUAAUAAGCAUGAUAAUGUUGGCUAUUACUUUAAAUAGAAUGAAUUUUAGAGUAGCUUUCAAGAAUAAAUUAUUGACUGCUGUUAUGCUAGCUUACCAUUUGUCCUUACCUUUUGCUCACACUGGAU
This 1019-nucleotide long non-coding RNA is filed under the name Marmota monax (woodchuck). The record is from RNAcentral. Lineage: Eukaryota; Metazoa; Chordata; Mammalia; Rodentia; Sciuridae.